GAGGUCAUAUCUAAAAAACUUGCCGCAAUAAGCCCCAAUUGGUGUGUUUAAACUUCUUUAAUUAAUUACUACAUAUUUUCUACACUCACAAUGUUUGUCAGCUCGCUAUAUAAUCAACUUGAUAAUGUUAAAUCCAUCAUGCAAUGCAUUUCCUUCCAAUUUUUUGUGAUAAACUAAUAGAUAAUUGAUUAAAUAAACAUCCUGC
This 205-nucleotide long non-coding RNA is filed under the name Malus domestica (apple). Its description in RNAcentral is "long non-coding RNA (MDOM_LNC014564)". Lineage: Eukaryota; Viridiplantae; Streptophyta; Magnoliopsida; Rosales; Rosaceae. The record is from RNAcentral.